RNAcentral lists this ribosomal RNA (710 nucleotides) under uncultured bacterium. Its description in RNAcentral is "bacterial SSU rRNA". It matches the Rfam family "Bacterial small subunit ribosomal RNA", at positions 800 to 1515 of the family's 1533-position model. The record is from RNAcentral.
CCCUAAACGAUGUCUACUAGUUGUCGGGUUUUAAUUAACUUGGUAACGCAGCUAACGCGUGAAGUAGACCGCCUGGGGAGUACGGUCGCAAGAUUAAAACUCAAAGGAAUUGACGGGGACCCGCACAAGCGGUGGAUGAUGUGGAUUAAUUCGAUGCAACGCGAAAAACCUUACCUACCCUUGACAUGUACGGAAGGCCGGAGAGAUUUGGCUGUGCUCGAAAGAGAACCGUAACACAGGUGCUGCAUGGCUGUCGUCAGCUCGUGUCGUGAGAUGUUGGGUUAAGUCCCGCAACGAGCGCAACCCUUGUCAUUAGUUGCUACGAAAGGGCACUCUAAUGAGACUGCCGGUGACAAACCGGAGGAAGGUGGGGAUGACGUCAAGUCCUCAUGGCCCUUAUGGGUAGGGCUUCACACGUCAUACAAUGGUACAUACAGAGCGCCGCCAACCCGCGAGGGGGAGCUAAUCGCAGAAAGUGUAUCGUAGUCCGGAUUGUAGUCUGCAACUCGACUACAUGAAGUUGGAAUCGCUAGUAAUCGCGGAUCAGCAUGUCGCGGUGAAUACGUUCCCGGGUCUUGUACACACCGCCCGUCACACCAUGGGAGCGGGUUUUACCAGAAGUAGGUAGCUUAACCGCAAGGAAGGCGCUUACCACGGUAGGAUUCGUGACUGGGGUGAAGUCGUAACAAGGUAGCCGUAUCGGAAGGUGC